CCAAUAUUCACAAGAUGAAGUUUGGAUGAAGAGCAACACAAGAGGGUAUAAAACACUGUCACAUUUUUUCAUGCCAGCAAAUAUUUCUUCCUCGUAUUAUUUCUUUAAAUAGCUCUUCACAAUAAGCAACCUCGGGGAAUAACAAGUCCGAAAAGAAGAACCGGGCCAAGCACAGGUAUUUAAUAUCUAUCCACCCACCUACCCACCCGUCUGUCUCUUUCCUCUCAUUACAUUUAAUUAUAUUUUUAUGAGUAUUACCAAAUUAAAAAAAUUAUUUAUUAUGCCCCCAGUACAUGUGCCCAUAGGCAAUUUUGACCUAUUUUGCUCCAUUUCCGCUCCUAACAGAAAUUCAGCGCAUGAUUUAUUAAUAAGACCCUGUUUGCUCUGAGUCGUCGUUUUAUCUCCCAAAGAGUACGUAGUAGGAACAGUUGAGCCUGCAAGGAGAGGGUGUUCCUGUGCCUUUCCUGGAGUACAGCGGCUGGCUACUGUUGAGAAUCUUCGUGUGCGGUUACCGAUGCAAUGUGUGCCUGAAGUCACUGCCCGAUCCUGCCACAUAGGGAAGUGUGAGGAAAUGUCAGCCCAUGGCCGAGUCUCUGCGUCACCACGGCCCCGGAUAGCAGUCUCCCCAAGCUUUGCUCAUUUUUCAAAAUGCCCAAGGAGAGCGAGGAGAGAAAACAAGAAUCAGGGAAAAGGAUGCCUGGAAUAAUCUAACUUUCAGUUAUGUCAUAUUACAACCCAUAAUAAUAUAAGUGUAAAGGACAUUGCAAUUUCUCCAGGAGAUUAAUAGGCAUUUGAGGGCCUUUUAAGAAAAGAAUAAUGUUUGAUCUAAUGCCCCCAAACAGUAGGAGAUACUGUAACUCAGUGUUGGGCCAAAUGCUUCAUCUGAGCUCUGCACACUUCACGGUGAGUCUCUGACUUUUACAUUAAUUUCCAUGAAUGGCCACGCAGAUCCCGUGUUUUAAAUCCUCGUGCAGACCCGGAUGAAAGUGAACACUAGCUCCUAGAGUCACCUAGUCCUUCUCUGUGGAAUCAUUUCUAAUUGAAUGUUAAGAUCAAAGUUUAAGUUUAUAAGAAAGAAAAACAAGUGCAGAUAAAUAGUUAUUAUCUGACACCCUUAUGAAAAUUCAUGACCUGCACUUUUAUCAGAGACCUUAUAAGAAUUCUAAUUGUGAAGUAUGCGGAGCCAUUAAAUGGCGAGUACGCUUCAGUCUCUUGAUAAGAAGUGAGUUAAAUAAUUGUCCUGUUUAACUUGUGCUUGUUAACCUUUAAGGUCAACUAGUUUGAACAUACGUUUAAUGAAAUCCUGGAGCCAGAAUUUAUGAUACUGCUGCCGAAUGCUAAAUUGGACAAUUUACAUAAGCAGGACAUUAACCUUCUGAGCACUAAAUAGCAUUUUAGCACUUAGCCGCUGGGGACAAUAAGGGACAUGUUCUAUAUAUUUGUGAUUAGCUUGCCUGGAAACUCUCAUGAUGACCAAUUGGCCUACCAAGUUUAGCAGCAUAAUUAAAUGAAUGGACUCAGCCUAAGUAAAUUAUCAGUGCUGUGUACAGUAUAUCAUUAUAGUCCAAAGGAAAAAAAAAGAUAUGAAUAAUUUAAUAAUACAUUACUAAUUUAUCAAUGCUAAGUGACUUUGAGGAGGCUCUUUGCAGUUCAUUGUUUUAAAUUUGAUAUUUGAUUUAUUGCUCGCGUGAUUAAAAUUGAGCCUGUUUCAUUUCUUACUAGAAGUAUAUAGAAGCAGUAGAUUUUAUUUUAUUUCAUUUCAUCUCAUUUCAUUUUAUUGAGGUGAGACUGGUGGUGUUUCCUGCUUUGGUGAUAUUACAAAAUACCUCCUACUGUGCACUGAUUAGCAGGUAAACUAGUAAUUUGUCACAAUCAGAUGUAUGCAGUCCCUACUACUUGGUAGCCUUCCUGAGGGGAGGGCACUAACCCCUGAGUUGUUCAUAAGUCCAGCUUGCAACACAGUGGCAAUUAUCAUUAUGGUUUGGAAGGGUCAAGCACCAGGGAAGGCAAUUUGCGCUUCACCUACAAAUGCUGCUGCUGAUUGUGGAUAAUCAAUCCUCUGGGCCGACUCUCCCGGAGUUGUGCUCUGUAAACUCAGUCUAACAUUAGGGCGUAUUGAACUUUAAUGGCCAAGUACCUGUGUGGGGAAAUAGCAUUCACCCUGAAGUCGGCUGGGGCCCCUGCCCCUUACUCUUCUAAGAUAAACCUGAGCCGGAUCUCAAUCCAUGGGCGUCCUUGGGUUUUUACUUCCUUGUGCUUCUCCCUCUGGGUCUGCCUCUCAUGCUCCCUGCCUCCGUUGUCUUGAGAGAACCUGUGAAUGUUAUAGUUAGCCUUUUUACUGGCUUCCCCCAAACUCUGUUCACCUUCGCCAUUUUGUUGUUUCAGUGACACAUGGUGCGGCAGGGUCACAUUGCUGAGCCCCCGACCUUUUGUUGGUCUCAACCUUCAUCCUUCUCUCUCUCCUCUUCACCUUUUUCAAAGGAGCAAGACUGUUUCUCUCUGUCUCACCAAGGUCCCUCUCAGGUUUGGUUCUACCCCAAAGACUCAUUCGAGUAUUUCUCCAAACAAAUAUUUUCCUCUAAAAGGGAAGUCAUGAAUAUUUUCACAUCUAGUUGCAAAACAAUAGGAAUAUGGUACUAAGUACAGUGAGUAUUUGGCAAGUAUUUGGUUGACCCCUCAACGUAGUCCGUCAAGCUACCCGUGGUAAGUCUCGCCUUCCUGACUGCGUGUCUUUCCAGACAGGACCAGAACCUACCUCACCACGUAACCACAACAGCAACAACGACAACAAUUUUUUAUACUUUGGAGACUGCUUUACUGUGUAUUAUCUCUCAGGAACUUGUAGAUGUAGAGUGGAUACUGUGAUACCAAUUUCUCAUAAAUGAAAUCGUUACUGAAAGAGAGAUUAAAUACCUUGUACAAAAACUCUGCCCUGCUAGCUUAUGAUAGAACCAAAUUUAACAUUUUUAUCUGUUUCCAAGGCCAGUGUUUCUGGAUUAACAUGGCCCAUGUGCUCUAACCAUUGUUCAGGUCAAUAAACAUUGAACCUGUUAUUUUUUAUUAAUGUUAAAAUAAUCUUAAGUAAUUCAUGCACAUGACACAAGGAACAAUACCAAUAAUUAUACAUUAAAAAGUAGUUUUGGGGUGCCUGGGUGGCUCAGUCAGUUAAAUACCCGACUUCGGCUCAGGUCAUGUUCUCGUGGCUUGUGGGCUCAAACCCCACAUAGGGCUCUGUGCAGACAGCUUGGAGCCUGAGAUUCAGCGUGGAGCCUGCUUCAGAUUCUGUGUCUCCUUCUCUCUCUGCCUCUACCCCACUUGCUCUCUGUCUCUCUGUCUCUCUGUGUCUCUCAAAAAAAGGAGCCUUUCCCUUUUCUCUGAAUCAGACACCCCCUACAGAGACAAUUAAUGUCAGAACCUUGUAGAUCCUUCCAAUGAUAUUAUAUUUCAUGUAAGUUUGGGUAUCUAUCCUUUAAAAAAUAUUUGUAACAUUACCAGACAUAUUACUUAACACCCGGAUUUUGAACUUAACAAUACAUCUUAGUAAUUGAUCUGUAUUAGCACAUACGAAUCUACUUAAUUUCUUUUCAUGGUUAUAUGUAUUCUAUCACAUAUAAUUGUCAGAAUGUAUUUAUUCCUUUGGUUCCAUACAAGUGUUUUUUCCUAUUAUAAACUGUAUUAAAAUCUUUGUAAUACAUAUUGGCAUACAAAUUCAAGUUUAUCUAGAAGAUUAAAAGGGAACCACUUCUGGUACUAUUCCUGGCCAGGUACUGGUUCCUCAGCUUGGCACCAACUUUCCCCAUCGAUCGGAAAGUAGACUUUUUAAAUUAUCUAUUGUCUAUUCCAUUUUGCUUCCAGUUGAUUGAACUUCAUUCCGUCUUUCCAAACUAAGCUAUCUUUAGGUUAGAUAGCCAGAAUGAGUAAUAUAGCAAAACAUUAGAAAGUUCACUGAGAAGCAGGAUGUGGCCAAAGUAAAGCCAAGCCAGCAUGGUCAAGGGGCUGGACUCUGGAAUAAUACAGACCUGGAUUCAAGUGGUGGCCCUGCUGAUGACUAGCUGUGCAGUGUGGACAGUGUACCUAUGCCCUCAGCAGGCUUUUUGCAUAUUCUGUGUGGCUAAUGACAGCGCCAACCUCCACAGAAUUAUGGGGGGAUGAAAUUACAUAAUGCUUAUAAGUGCACAGUUUCUAACUCCUAGUAAGCAGUCAAAAAAUCUGUUAUCACCUAUGAGUGUUAUCGAAGCUUUCCAGAAUCAUUGAUUAGCUAGCUGAGUCAAUAUUACACAAAGUUUCGUUGUCUAUUUUUAAUUUUAAAACUAUUUACAUCAAGCUAUUAUUUGACAGUUGAGGGUUACUUGGUCAGGGUGACAGCCAGAGCAGCCUUUUUAACCUAAAACUGUUUAGAACCAUAUUAUUAUUAUUAUUAUUAUUAUUAUUGAGAGAGAGUGAGAGCGAGAGAGAGCAUGAACAGGGGAAGGGGGCAGAAGGAGAGAGAGAGAGAGAGAGAGAGAGAGAGAAUCCCAACCAGGCUCCACGCUCAGUGCAGAACCCAACUCGGGGCUUGACCCCGAGACCAUGAAAUCAUGACCUGAGCCAAAACUAAGAGUUGGACACUCAAACAACCAAGCCAUCAGGCACCCCAGAACCAUAUUAGAUGUAAGUAUGGCCCAAGAUUUACCAACGCCUAUAUACACAUUCUGUGUAAAAGUAUCACUGUUAAAGUGAAUAUUUUCAACUAAGACCUUUUCACUAAAAUAUUUUAUAGGUGUGAAUUCUAAACUGCUCUAAAUUAUUUUCUUUGCUGCUAGUUUGUCUUUAUUUUAAUCUUAUAUUGUUCAUUGGAAAUGAACAUUGUAUUGUACAUUGGAAAUUUCUCCCUUCUUUAUUUCUUUUAAAUAGGGGAAAGUAAAAGAAUCAAGUUGCUUUUCUCCCUGACACCUAGCCUGGGUGUAGAGAUCUGGAGUCCUUCCUCUAGAAUUCUCUAUAAGGACUACUCAGAUCAAAUGCCCUCUGGGAUAUUUGAUUCCCACUUGGGUUGUAUCAGCCCUCAUCAGAAUCUGCAACCUUGCCUCCGGAUAUUCUACCAACUGAUAUUUUGGUAUAGUUUAGCACAGUGAAAAAAGUACUUGGAUUUGGAGUCAGAGGACCUGAGUUUCUGUUUUACUCGGCAGCUUUGCUCCCCGAAAUGGGAAUUGCUGAAGUCAACGUCUUCAUCUGUCAGGUGUUAUAAAAAAAAACUGACCCUACUUACCUCACAGGAACAAGUGAGAUGAUGAAAGUUCUUUGUGAAUAGCAGAGCAUGGGGCAAACGUUAGUAAUUAUUGUCAUUAUGAUCAUUACUGAUACCGAAAAUAAUGUUCAGAGUCAGAAAUCGUAUCUGAGACCAGCAAAAUAAGUUUUACCCUGUUGGUACAGUAUCCCUUUUGUGAUAGUUCCCUUCUGUUUGGCAAACACCUUAUCAGUGUUUUCAGACCUCUUAGAGUUUUUCUGUUGGCAGAAUUUCUCUCUUACUCCAGGGUCCAGCUUGAAGGUUUACGUGUGUGUGUGUGUUGACAACAACACUGAAUGAUUUCCUCACCUUUCUUACCACUCAGGUAGUGUACUUCUAGCUGGCCCAGUGUAAAAGUUUGGAUUCUGACUCUUUAAAUCUUUCCAUCUUCUCUCUCCUAGCCUGUCUCCCAGGGACCUCCAACAAAUCACUGUGUAUUCUGGAAAUGCUAAAUCAUUAGAGCAAGAGCCAUAUCAAGGUGAAAUGAGAAAUGUAACUUGCUACAAGGAAAUGCUAUGAAGCUUAUUCUGCUUUCAAAGCUAAAUAGGUGUGCUUUCUAAAUUGGCUGAUGGCAUGGCGUAGCUAAAUUCAUAGUCUCCUGUAAUAUGUUUGAUACUCAAGAGUUAUAGGCGUCAUUACUGGCUUAAUUCUUUUUUUCUCUUAAUCCUUCUAAAGCGCUCAGUUGUUUAGAAUAAUUUCUGACCAAUAGAUGCAGUCAGAUAGUAUUUCCAUCUUUGCUCCCACCUUUCCUUCAUAGCAUAACUUGUCUUAUGAAGACAUCUGUAAAUUAAGAUUUUUAGUAUGAUUAGAUAUAGAGAAUAACUAUUUUUUAAUUUUUUUAACAUUUAUUUAUUUUUGAGAGAGAGAGCACCAGCAGGGGAGAAGCAGAGAGAGAGGGAGACACAGAAUCCGAAGCAGGCUCCAGGCUCCGAGCUGUCAGCACAGAGCCAGACGCGGGGCUCAAACUCACAGACUGUGAGAUCAUGAUCUAAGCUGAAGUUGGAUGCUUAACCAACUGAGCCACCCAGGUACUCCUAGAGAGUAACUGUUGAAACGGGUAGAUCUUGGAACCCAGAUGUCUAUUUUGGAGUCUGUCAACACCCCUACCGGUUGGUUACCAUGUUCAUCCAUUAACCUGAAGUUAAUCUGCUUUUUCUCUUCAGCCAUAUUGCUUGCCACUAGAGAAACAAUAGUUUCAGAAUAUUUUCCAAAGGACGCAAAUGAUUACAUGGCCCUCUUCUUAUUGGCCAGUGUAAUCUCAGCUAUGAAAGCUUUUCUGUAAGUAUCUGAUACCUUAAUGAGCAGAUUUCCUUGUCUUUCUUAUUGUUCUUCCGUGUUUCCUACAUUUUCUUUCUUUCCUUGGCUUGGAAUAAAUUACUUAGUUGGACAAGAAUAACCUUACAUUAUUCCCAGUCAAUACAUGACUAUAUAAAGAUAGGUGUUUUCAUCUGUAAGGACAAACUUAAAGGAUUCCAAGAAUGAAAGUGUUGGUGUAGCUGUCUGAAGAGAUUUGAAACAUUCUUUUAACUUUAUUGCAACCAUCGCCCACGUUGUGAGGAACACUCUUCCUGUUAACUGGAAGGAAAAGAAAUUUCUCUAACAUAUUUUCCACUCAGCCCUCUUUAAGAUAAUUCCUUUCAUUGCUUUGGUAAGUCAUUCACACUAACAGGUACCAGUUUUUCUGUGCCUGCCUUGGGCUAAGUAGAGCAGGUGACAAAAACCCUUUCAGGUUGUCAGAUAUUAAUGUAAAAUACCCCUAGACCUCACUACUUAUUCAUCUUCAUCUAGUUGACUAAUGCUUUUCCCAUGUUCUUACAUGUUGGUAAAUUAAAGAAACCUUCCAGACAGUUCUGUCAACAGUUUACUGAAAUGUACCUCAUUAGUGAGGUUGACCUGUCACAUGAGUGUAAUUUAAUCCUAUUGAAUUAUCACUCAAAAAUGCCUAAGUGCUGGGUUUUUAUACACUGGAUAGAAGGUUUGCUACUAACACUGUCAUGUUUCCAGUUGAUGAGAGAGGAAACAAGCAAAAAAUAUGCAGGGUCCUCUCUGCCUCUACCUCCCCACGCCCAAAAUAGUGAUACUUAUGUCAUCUCCUGAACAGAAUAUUACAUUUCACUGUAGAUCAAAAAUAUCCCUGUGGAUCAUUUUCUUUUCAAAUCUAAAAGGGAAAGAGUGAAUGUUGACUGCUACCCCCUUUAUUUCCCUGUCCGGUAACAAAAGGAAUCUCUGAUACAAAGCCCGAUCUGAAUGAGGAGUUUCAGAAUCUGCAGCGUUCUCUAAUGUUAAUGGGACUCUUUACUGUAAGAUAUUAUUUAUGAUUUGCUGCGAUAUUGUGUUUUCUAAAUGGCAAAGCAGCACAUGAGAUUAAUUAUUUUUCUUCAGUUGUUUCUGUACUGUGACUUUACACUAUCCCAAGGUGAGCUGGGUAAGAACUGAUUAUAAGCAAUGAACGCAGAAUGUGUGGAGCACGCUGGGAACAUUUGGUUAAUCUCUCCUUUUCAGAACCACACUUGUAACUAUUUCCUCAGUUGUUCAGAUAAUUGUGAUGCCAUUGGUCAAGAUGUGAGCUUUUCAUUGUCGUGACUUGGCAAGUUGAUUAGGCCAAUCUAUAGAAAUUGAAGAGACUCUCUUUAGUAGCGAGAGAUGAAUGGCCAAAAAAUACGUAGCUUGACCUAAAGAAAUAGGGAGACAUAUCAAAGACACACUGAUGAAGUAUCUGUCAUAAUCCUAAAGGCUAGUAUUUAGUGUGUGCUUACUAGAGACCAUGUUCUGUGCUAUGCAUUUCACGUGGAUUAGUCUCUUCGUUUCUCUUAACAACCCUAAGCAUUUGGCUCUAUUCUGAUCACCACGUUACAGUUAAGGAAGCUGAAAUGAGACAUGUCAAAGUGAAGGUUAUGGAGCUCACAGAUGGCAGAAUUUGAACCCAGAGCCAAUGCUCUGAAGAGCUAUGUAGCACUGUGGUCACAACUGUGAAGUCACCGAAUCAGAGUUUGAUCAUUAAGUUCUACAGAUUCUAACUCAUCAUGGCUGUUCUCCAAAAGAAUGUUGGCCCCCAGGUAAUGUUGGUUCUGUGGUUUGCAUUCAGCCUCCUUGUUACUGGGAAGUGAAGGUAUACGAUUUUGCUCUUGUUGUCCCAUUCUGUCACAGUAGAUUAGCUAUGGUCCUAGAGGGAGAUGUCUGUGCACUGCAAUGCAGGUCAUGGGAUAAUGAAAUGAGAUCCUGUAGCUUUUGGAGGCCUGGCUGGUGCCUCUGUGACAGCAUGCUCGACCUUACCUGCUUGCUGUGCUCUUACGGGCAUGAGGAUUGUAAAUUAUGUGGUUGCUUUCUUAGCCUUCUUACCUUCCUCCAACCUCCUCCACCGACCCUCCAUGUACCUGUCAGGCUUUGCCAAAGAUGCACUAAAUUCUAAAUGGUGGAAAACUGACUCUGCAUAACGGGUGGGUGAAAAAGGUCAUGGCGCCUCAUAUUCCCAUUCAGAUGGCAGCCUACUUGGCCUGAGAAAUAAAAAGGGAAAUGUCUGGGAGAAAAAUCACAGAAAGAACGUAUAUUUUUAUUCUGCUUUUUUUCCUCCAAAAGUAGAGCAAAUGAACCCAGAUCAGAUUGGCGGACACGUUAUUUUUCCCGGUGGAAUAAAACCUCUAAGCCAUCUCUGAGAUUGCUAUAGACAAAGAACUCUCAUUGACCUCAACAGCUAUUUUAUAUGGGAGACACCAGGGCAGGACACCUUUUGGUGAUUUUAUAAGGUCUUGGAAACCUCAUUUGGCAAGCAUGAAAGAGGGAGAGGAUUUGGGUCAGGAGUGCUGAAUCCUCGUCUCACCACUGUUGACUUUCUGUGUAACAUAAUAUUUGAGAGAUUACAUUGAAAUGUCUCAGGAUUUAUUAAUCCCAUAUGUUUUUUUUAAGUUUCUUUUUGAAAGAGAGAGAGAGAACAAGCAGGGGAGGGGUAGAGGGAGGGAGAAAGAGAAUCCCAAGAAGGUUCCAAGCUGUCAGCACAGAGCCCCGUGAGGGCUAAUCUCGACCUGAGCCAAAAUCAAGAGCUUAACCGAUUGAACUGCUCAGGCGCCCCUAUCAUGUAAGAAGUUUUAAGGCAUUGUGACAGAUGUUUUUUAGUUACCAUUGAUCCAGAACAAGACACUCUUCUGAGAACCUUAUCUUUUCUCUGCAUUAAAAUUGUAACAUUGUCUUUUCUUUAACAUUUUGUUUCUUUAAAAAAGAAGUUUAGUGUUUACUUAUUUUUGCAAGAGAGACAGAGUGUGAGUGGGGGAGGGGCAGAGAGAUAAGGAGACAUAGAAUCCGAAGUAGGCUCCGGGCUCUGAGCUGUCAGCACAGAGCCAGAUGCGGGGCUUGAACAUAGGAACCAUGAGAUCAUGACCAGAGCCAAAGUCAGUCACUUAACUGACUGAGCCACCCAGAUACCCCAACAUUUUAUUUUCAAAGAAAUAGAAUAGCUUCAAAGGGGAAUUUAUGUUUCUGACAUAUUUUAAUAGCUAAGCAUAAGAUGCAAUUUAAAAUUCAUGUAUGCCCAUCAGCUGGUCCAGAAAUAUCUUUAAUUUUCUAGAAAAGUAUCACUGUGUCGACAUUCCAUCUUUGGACACGUCGCCACGUGCUUUUAUACAGGAAUAGGAAUUGAGGGUGAUAGGCCAAGCCUAGGAAAGACAUUCUCAAGAGCCACACAGUGAGGAAUAAGUUGCUGAUGUUUCCGAAGCGUGGCUCAGAGUGGAGUCCACACCGAAACAGCGGCACUCAUCUUCCUUGCUGCAAACCACAUGGAGCCAAACCGCAAUUAGUUUGAAAAUGGUCAUGAUUUUCAGAUUUUACAUUCCCUCCACGCUCUUAAUAAAAAUGAACACACUCUGUGACUUUUUAACAAAAAAUAAAAACUGAUGAUACCAUGUAUUUUAAAUAAGAGCUAACGCAUCAGUUCUAUUCCUUUCAAUGUCUCUUCUUUGCCCUAUUAUUUUUAUUUUCUAAAGAAUUUAUUUAUUUAUUUAUUUAUUUAUUUAUUUAUUUAUUUAUAUUUUAGAGAGAGAGCAUGAGCGGCGAAGAGCAGGAGAGAGAGAAUCUCAAGCAGGCUCCACGCUCAGCGCAGGGCCCAAUGGGGGGCUCAAUACCUCGACCCUGAGAUCAUGACCUGACCCAAAAUCAAGAGUCAGACUCUCAACUGACUAAGGCACCUGGGCACCCCUGUCCUAUUAUUUUUCUUGGUAAACCAAACAGACAAACUGCAUACACAUAGUCAUUUAGUCAUUCGUUCAUUCGUUCAUUCGUUUACAGAGUGGUCACGCAUGUUCCCUGUUCCAAACCUUUAUCCCGUCAUGCCCGGACAAUUAUAACCAUCUUUUGCUUGUUUUCUCACCUUCUCUUUCUCCAUCUUGUGUGUUCACUUCUUCUUUUCCAAUCCCAUUGUCCUUCAUCUGCCCUCAGGAUCUUCCAGGUGUGUUGAAUUACAAGACUGAGAGCAGCCACUCUGCACAUGGGUGGGAAGUGUUGGAAGAAAGUACAAUUAUAAGGUGGGUGGAAAGGAGAAUCUGAGACUUUCUCUAUUUGAGGUGUCCAUGGGACAAAUGUGUGGAAAUUAUUGUCGGUGAAGCUCUAGAUCUGAGAAGAGAGAUUUUAUUUAAUGAAAUAAGGACACACAGAUAGUUCAAAGUCAAGAUGCUGAUUCGAUCACUAAAGAGAUAAAGUAAAAGAAAAUGAGAACUGGGCACAGAGUGGGUGACAAAUAAAUAUUUGCUGUUUGUGGUGUCUUACCUGGGAAACUUACUACCAGUAUGUCUCCUUUGAUGGUCAUGACCUGUUCCUUUUAGGGUGUGAAACUCUUUCGUUCCUGGUAUUUAUUAUAGAUUUGAACUCUCCACUUCAAAAGUCAUUUUAAAGAGAGGUAUUCAUAGAAACUUGCUCUCGGAUAAUCAAAUAGCAGUACAAUGGACAAAAACCUUCCAAAAGAAAUACUUAAAAUAGACUUUAACCCUUACUCACCUUGAGGUUAAGAAAAGAAGCUUGCUUUUUAUAAAAAGAAUAUCUAAUAUGAAUCAGAAUUAGAGAAGUAAGGCUGGAAGGAAUUUCAGAGCAUCGUAGCUGAAGCACAUAUUUGCUAGGAGAGUAAACUGAGGCAGAGAAUGACUAAGAAGUUAACCCAAGGCUUCCUGCCUUAAUUGGCAGAAAUCUUAGCCCCUGUUAUCUGAAUGACAAAUAUAGAGGAAGAAUCUUUUCUAGAAAUUCUGAUAAUGCUAGGAAUGCUCCCUGGACCCAAAGCAUCAGAAUAAAAACCUAUUUUACAAAUUAAAAUGUUAAAAUUUCAAUUAAAUUUCUAUUUAGUUGAAAAAGGUAAAACCUAACUGCUUUACUUGGGUUUCAUUGUUUCUUCAACUGUUGUUGGUUUUUUUGUUUUGUUUUGUUUUGUUUUGUUUUAAAGAAGGGGAUGUGGUUUGGAGUGGAUAAUACUGGGCCACUUUCAGCUCCAAAAACAUGGCAUUCUAUAAUUUUUGAAUCAUAAUAUAUUUGUAGAAGGAAUAAGGGAAAUGCCAGCAAAUUAAAUACUAAUACUAAUAUUUCAUAAUUAUAAGAAAUUCAAAAUUCUUGGUCAACACAAUAAGUUGUAAAGUGAAGCUUUAUUCUGUUUUGUCAACUCAUACCAAAUAACUGUUUUUUAAAUUGCUGUUCAUUCUGAUAAUUUGUAUACACAAGUCUUUUAAAAAUUGGAUUAUAAUAGAUACGGGUGAUUUCUACAGAUUAAAAAGCCAUAUUAUAACAUCCACAAGUAAACUUCAGACUUUCUUUUAUUUUAGAAGAGCAGGUAAAAACUAAUCAUUCCCUCUUUCUUUAUACUGUAUGCUUUUUUUUUUCUCCAGAUAAUGAAUAUUUUAAGUGUGAAAACCCAAACUUCCCAAAUACCUAUUCUUCUUUUAAAAAGAAUUGAUAUUACCUUCUUCCUCACCACCACCCCCCACCCACACACAUAAAUUGGGGGCAGUGGGGAGUAGGGGGCUGAAGUUUAGAAAUUGAAGAAAUGAUCAUCUCUAAUAUUCUAUUCCAUUCUGCAGAUGAAUCAUUGCAACCAAUAUCAGUGAAACAUGUUUUAUUCGUAGUCAGAAUUCAAGAAAAUGCCAAUUAUUCAUUCAUCUGACAUUGGUUCAUUUAUUUACUUAUUCAUUCAUUCAACAGAAAUUUUUGACCCUUGGUUUCUGUGCUAGGUAAUCAGGUAAAAAUGUGUAUAAUGUAAAACCAAACCAUUGCCUUUGGUGAACAUAGGGAAGAAACUCUUCUAUCAGACAGCCAGGACUUUUCAAAGGCAAUUUGGAGCAUGAUAUGAGGAAGCAGGCCACAAAAGGAAAAAGAGAUAACACAGUUCUUCCAUCAUUUCCCAUGUUAAUCCCAUUUGUAAAAUCACUGAGAAUCCCUAAAUCUUUUGCCAGAUUCACAAGUAUGCAAACUGAUUCACAACUGUAAGAUUAGACGAAGCUUACUAUUCAGUAGGAACACAAAACAAUGUUUUUAUAAAUUACAAAGAUUUAUUUGAAUUCCUCCUCUUUCCCCCAUAUAACACAUACAAAUCACCCUUUCUUCUGAAAAUUGGCCAAUCAUCAAAGUCACUCAAAGGUUUUGAUGCCUUUAUUUGCCAUCCAGUCAUUGUCCUGAGGCUGUAACAGAAUAGAACAGUAGAACAGGAGCUGAAUCGGUGGGGCAGAGCAACCCUAAAAGAAAAUCUUGACCCACUGUCCUUCACAUACUCAAUGUGGUUGUAUAGUAUACUAUAAUUCUAGAGUUAUAUCAUAAGGAUGCUUCUGGAAUGAAUGUUAAACCUUUAGAAAAUUCAGAGUACCAACUCCUUAAAGGUGGAGAUAAUAUAAUAUAGUAUAGUAUAAAAUAGUGUAGUAUCGUAUCUUCAUAUAGUGAAGAGAAUAUAGAUAAUAUAGCAGAAGAAAGAUUGUGGUUAAAUGACCCAGGCAUAAAUCCUUGUAUAAAUCUGAGUCUUCCCAUUUUUAAAAUAGGCAUAAUAAUGCCUACCAUGCAGGAUUGUUACGAGAAUAAAUAGGUAACCAAUAAAUUGUUAUUUAUACCGGUAGUUCUAAACUGGAGAUGAUUUUGUGUCCCUUACUCACCCCCUUCCACCAAGGGGCAUUUGGCAAAGGCUAGUGACAUUUUUGGUUUACACAACUAGAGAAGAGGUCAAGAUGCUGCUAGAUAACCUAUAAUGCAUAAAACAUUCCUCACAACAAAGAAUUAUCUGGCCUAAGUGUCAACAGUGUGGAGGGUAGACAACUUGAAUGUGUACAGAGCACAUAGCAGGUGGACAGGAGGUGAUGGUUAUUACUAUUACCUGCAAUGUUUCAAAACUAGAUCUAAUGUAAAAACAUUGUGUGUGUAGAGUGAAUAGACUAAAUAUUUCUCUAGCCUUUAUAAUGAAUUAACUCCAAGAUUUCCUUGGAGAUGUACAUAAUCAAUUACAUACUUAAAAACUAUUCUCAAUAGCUCCAGUGACAUUCAAAAUGGAUCUAGGCUGAAACAGACUUCUGUGCAUGCAUAAAGGAAUUUUCCUGUCAAUAUUAUUGUAUGUCAAACAGAAAAACUCUUGAUAUGCAAGACAACUAGAGCAAGAAAGGCGUAGUCUGAAAAUAAAAUUGAAAAUAGUUUUCUAAGCUUCAUUUUCCAAUAUGUUCUGUUUUGGAGCUCUUAUGGUUAUCUGGAUAUUCUAUUCCCCUCUUUCCUCUUUAUGUUACCAUGAACUGAGAUCCUCACAAACUUUGGGUCUUGUCCUUCACACCUGUCUUCCCAGGACACUUUGGCUUUGGGGUCUGUGGGGCAUUGCGUGCUAUCAACAAAAUACAUUCUAAAGCCUGUGGACUCCUGAAAGUCUUCAAUUUUUUAUUUCUGUGCAUUCCUAUAAACAUAACAUUCCUUUGUCUUCUCUAUUAUGGAAUUGUCCCAUGGUGUUCCUUUGUAGGAAUUUUCUUCCAUGAUAACAUUGAAAAAUCACACAGUGCUUGGAAUGCAUUACAGUUGGAAUAUUUUUUUUGACAUACCAUUCAAAAACUCUUUAAAAGCUCAAUCUAUUAAAUCAGAUUCUGACAUUAGUCUACACUAAAUUUCAUCUAGUUUCUUGCUCAUCAUUUUAAUGGUAUAUUUUAGAUCUGACAUCCUCAUGUAAAACCUUUAUUAUUUUGCCCUGUGACAAUUCAAAAAAUCUUCUCUCUUAUAACUUCUUUCCCAACUUGCCCCAACUGUCCACAAGACAGUUCAGUUCAUCAUUUCUGCCUCACUAUAACCACUGUGCUUUCUGCAUAUUACGAAACUGCUCAUGUACAUUCUUUCAUAAUCAAUGUCGAAUAUUUAUUUACAAUAGACUGAAGACAGUGGUUGUUUUAAUAAUCUUUGUAUUUCUACAGCUUAGUGCAAUGCAGACAUACCACAAACCCUCCAGUUAAUGUUGAUUCAAUGGAUAAAGAUUGACACACAUCAAACCAGAUUAUGCCAUAGGUAUUGCAGAUUUCCAAAAAUCUGCAUUCUUUUUCUUAUCAAUGCUGCUUUUCUUAUCAAUGCUGCUUAUCAAUUUUCUUAUCAAUGCUGCUUUGGUUCUUUCUGUUUAAUGUUAGAAGCAUCAUGAACAUGUCAUAGGUGGAAUAUAUCUUUAAAUAACACCAGAACUUAGAGUGGAUCUAAGUUUUGGAGCCACGGGGAGGAUUCUGAGAAUAAGUAUUGUUAAGAGCUUGUGUUUGUCUUGAACCCCUUAAAGUUCAUGAAUAAGAUAGAACUUUAUAUCCUUGCUAAGUGUGAAAGAAGGGAGAAGAAAUGAAGUUAGGCAAAAUCUUAAUUAUAAAUAAAGGAAGCCCCCACACUGGUGGCAUUUCAUUUACUCCAUAGUUGUAUGUGAAAUCGCACUGGACUAAAACUUCUUUGCCAAAUAUUUAAUUUUAUAAUAUACUGUCCAAAUGAAGGAUUUUGACAUUCCAAUCUGACUUUCAAAUAAGUUAUUAAUUAAAGCUGAGAAAAAAUUUCAGACUUGCCUUCAAUUCAAUAAAUAUUUGUUGAAUAUUUAUUAUGUAUUAGACACUAUUCUAGGUACUUGGGACAUAGCAGUGACCAAAACUUCUGUUCUUAAAACUUACACUAAAUCUAUAUUCAUUUGCAGCUGGAGGAAUAAGAACCAAGUAACAGUUUGCUUCCUAAAUAAGUUAAUAGUUUAAUAUACUGUUUGCAUUUUUCUGAUAUGUUUAUGUGAUUAUCUGGAUUUCAUAAGAAAGAAAGAAUGCAUGAGUUCCUUUUGUAUUCAUUCCAGGUAGCUGAGACUGAAUAGUUUGAAAGCUGUUUCCUAGGAAGCUUCAGUGAUGGUUUGGUGAAUUCCCAGUUAGGACGAUUUUCUACUGUGCUUUGUAAUUUGCUGUUUGACUUUCCUAGAAUCACUGUUCGUUGUCUCCUAGAAAUAUAGUAAGAAAUAGUUUUAUCUAGCUACCCAUUUAGGUGAUAUGUUGAAGUUUUAACCUUUUAUUUUAGGAUAAACAAACACAGAGAGUUUGUUCAAGGAUGGGGAGAAAUAGGGAGAAAAAAACUUACUUCUGGUCGUUAGUGUAAAUCCAGUUGUCUGUACAUUAUAGGGAAUUAGUCGCUUUUUAGAAAGAGCUUUUAAUUGCCUAAUCUAAGUAAUGUGGGCAAUGGCAUACGUGUUUUAUUUUAGGGUCUAUCUAGCCCACUCAGAAAAUGUAAUGGACCUAAUUUUCAUUUAGUAUAGGUCUGUGCAGUUCCUAAAACAUCUAAAUGGCUAUUAAUUUAAUCAGGUAAUUUAACUAUAGCUCUAGAAAAGGCCACCAGCUAGUUGUCACGCAAUGAUUAUGAGGAUGACAUUUCUAUCCCAUGAUGCCAGAGGCAGACUUUGAUACAUCAUUUUCUUUUUGAAGGUUAAACUCAGAUAACCUGCCUUUGGCAUUUAAUUAGCUACAUAUUAAACACUCUUUUAAUAAUAAAAUGAUUAAAAAUUUUAUUGCUUCUCAAAUGAGGCCCUUUUAGAUAGAUUUAAUGACUUGGUUCGAGCUCUGUAGUUUGUGAACCAAACCUUACUUAGGCCAGGGUGUAGUAAUGAUAUGCUUUACAGCUUGCAAAAUCUGUAUUUUAUUCAAAUGAUGGCCAUAAUCAUUUUGGAUAAAACUUAUAAUGCUUUCUUCUGUAUUUUUAAGUCUAACUGUUAAAUGUCAUUGGAAACUAACCAGAAACCCAUUGAUUCAAAAUUUCCAGAAAUUGUCAAGUUCAAGAUUCAUAAAGAGACCAUGAAGUCUGCUUAAUGUGCUGAAUCUUAUAUACUAAUUGUUUACCCUUUGAAAAAUCAUUUGUCGUCAUUGAAUGCCUGCAAGGAAAAAAAAAACUAUUAUAGAAAUGACAGAGAAGUGUGAGUGGCCUACAAAUGCCCAUCCAUAUUUUCAGCUAAUAUUAGCUGUUUAGUGAAAAUGGUCAUCAAGAGACCAUUCGUUGUUCAUCCUCAGCAUGACUUGGUGGGGGUAAGGGGCAGUUACAAUGUCUGUGAAAUAGGUGAAAGAGACAGAAUGCUGUCACACCAGAACAUGGAUAACUAGAGUCUGAAUAAAGGUGACCAUUUUACUUUUAUUCCUUUUAAAAGUUUUUACUUAAUUUUGAAUUUAUGUUAUUUAUUUAUUUAUUUUGUUGUAUAUGCAGCAGCUUUUAGCACUCAGUUCAAUGAGAUUCGACAGAAAUGUACACCCAUGUAACCACUGUCUCGAUCAGGCAAUUAGCUGUCAGACUUCCACAUGCUUUCUUUCCCACAACUUCCUUCUGCUUGUUUUACAACAUCAUGUAGAUGUAACCGUACAGCUUCUUUCGCUUAUCACAUUAUUUUUUAUAUUUACUUGGGUAAUAUAACAGUUGACAGUUUGCAGAUUUUUACAGUUGUACUAUUCCAUUGUGUGAAGGACCAGUCACCUGUUGAUGGAGGUUUGGGUUGUUUCUAGUUCUUUAUUCUAUUACUCAAGCUAUGAACAUGCUUUUGUCAUUCUUUGUUGAAUACAUGGUCUCAUUACUAUUGAGUAAAUAUCUAAGAGUGGCAUCAUUGGGUCAUUAUAAUACUUGCCUGUUUCACUUGAGGAGAAACGGCCAAUAUCUUCACUUUCGGUGUAGUUGUGAAUGAGCUAGCACCCACUUCUUUUAGCUUGGAAAGAUAAAAGUAUUCAGUGAAUAAUAUUCAAUGUAGUGAACGCUGCAAGUGUGUUUAGAAUUGUAAUGGUGAUUUUCUUCUCUCUGUAGAUGUAGAACUUUUCAUUUUGGUGAUUUGACAGAGAAGUCCCUUCCUCCCCAUUCAAAAUCAACAGAUUAUUGCUUUUAUUUCACGUGUAGGUAAAUGUGAAUCAAUAUGGUUCUUUGGGGUUUGGCUUGUUAGAGAAAAUAAGGGAAAAACCCACCAACACACAAACUGGCAAUCAAAUUAAGAUGAAUAUUUCAGAAGAGGCCACCUGUGACUUUGUACAUUAAGGAAAUAUGUAUGUGGCAGAGGGCGAUAAUUCUGAUCGUUAGCACCCGGAGUCUGCAACAGAUUACCAAAUAGCGUUAGAAAAUAUUGUUUCUCUUUGCUUUAGAAUACAAGAUAGCUGGUCCAAAUGAUGAAGAUCCCAGAUCUUCCUUUAACUUUUUCAGCAUAGUUGAUUGAAAUUAAGUGAGGUCCCAUGAAAAAAAAAUUUCCCACACCAGAUUUGUUAUUGUAAACUUCUUCUGACUUGGGGGUGUGAAUUCCUGAGAUCCUUGAGUCUAGGGAGAGUACUUUCUAUUAACAAUUGACUUACUAAUAUUUUAUGGGCAUUUCUUCUAAAUCCUAUGCUAGUUUUUUCCUUGAUAAAUUGUACAUUUGGGUUUCUUAGGCCAAGAGAGAUUGUUUUAAAAAGAUAAUCAAUAGAUAAAUGUGUCUUUUUAUUGCUUUAUUAGAGAAUGGUUUUUGUUUUAUUAGAGAAUAGGUAUUUUUUGCAGAAAAAUUAGAAAAUGCAAAUAUGCAAAAAAGAAAAACUAGUUGUAAUUCUGCCACACACAGUCAUUAAUAUCACAGUGAAUAUCCUUUCAGGUUUUUUAUGCAUAUGUGUAUGCAUGUAUAUACUUUUUAAAAACAGUAACCUAUUUACAAAAUAAUCUAUUUAUUACCAAAAUAUAAAAAUGUCUCUGUAGUCAGUAUUAUCUACAAAGUAAUUUUAAAUAUUUGAACAAUACUAUAUUGUGUCAUAUUUAUGUAACCGACCUCAUACUGUUGGGCAUUUAUAUUGCUUACAAUUGUAUUUUCUUAUACACAGUGAUGAAGUAAACUUCCCUAUAGACAGAUAAUUUUAUACAUCUGAAAUUUUUCCCUUAGGAUAACUUUCUGUAAAUAGAAUUGUACAAUUAAUAGGUAUCCAUAAUAAAGGUUUUUGCUUGGCAAAUUAUUUUUAUACAGGGAGCAAGCAAACUUGAACAUACUAUUCUACAAUUAAUUCUUGUUACUCAGUUGUAACUUUUUAUGGAACAUUUGUUAUUUAUAGUACAAAAAUAUUGAAAAGUUUUGUGGUCUACAGAAAUAUCCUUGACCUUGGACCUUGUGAAAAAAAACUUUCAUUAUAGUUUGAUUCCAUCAGCUGAGAGUAGAUUCCUGUUUACAUAGAACCUAUAUCUUUAGUGUAAGUGUAUAACUCCAGGUAUACAGGUCUCUCAGUAGAAACUAACCAGUUUUGAGUCAAAUGAAAUUGGCUUCUCUUCAGAAGGCACUUUAUUUUAACUUACUUUUAAUGAUCUGCAGCCCCUUUCUGAUGAUCUCGACCUAUACUGCCCAAUAAGAUAGCCAUUAGCCACCUGAAAGAUGGCUGGUCAGAAUUGAGAUUUAAUAUAAAAAAAUGUAAAAUACCCUAUUAAUAACUUUCAUAUUGAUUACAAAAUGAAAUUAUAAUAUUGGAGAUACAUGGAGUUCAAUAAAAUAUAAUAUUAAAGUGAAUUUUACCUGUUUCUUCUUAGUUUUUUCAACAUGGUUGUUGGAAAAUGUUCAAUUACCCUAUGUGGCUCCCGUUUUAUUUCUAUUGGACAGAGUGCAUCUACAUGUAUAUUCCCCUGAUACAGAAAAUAUAAAACAAGUAUCUCCACAUGUUAAUUAUAUUUUCAUGGCUAUGAAAACCAUAGUCAAGGGAGGGAGGUUUCAGUGGGUCUACAAAGGUGCCUUCAAUGUGAUGUCUGAUAAGUGAGGAAAUCACUGAGAGGAGAAAUCUCACACUUGCCUUGAGCGCCAGGAUUCUACAGAUGGCAGACCAGUUCUUCUUAGCAGCGUUACAGACCCUCUCUCUGCUGAAGCUCUGAAUUGUUGAAAAGGAUGAUGUGUUCUCACAAGGGGAAUGGAUAAAGUGAACAGCAUUCCAUUCCAAAUUCUCUCUGUUUCCAAUCUUGAUGAUCACUUCACAUAUGCCUAAUUUUCAUUUAUCCUCAUGCAGUCUCAACACAAAAGACGUGAGUAAACUCAAGUGAAGAACCGAACUACCCCCAGGCAGCUAGAGACAUGAAGUUUGGAAAUAGAACUCCAUGUGAAUUUUUGUUGAGGUACUGCCUAUAACUUCAGAAUGCAGUGGAGAAUUGAGGCAUAUACCCUUCUCCAAAAAGAAUGAACAACAAUAACAACAAAAGCUGAUAGAUAAGUGACUGAAUAAUUCAGAUUAGGCAAUUGACUUGAAGCUCUCAUAUAAUUGUCCCCUUGUGUGUAUAGACCCUGCCAACUGUGGAAGACCAUCCAAAUAGAGAAGGGUAAUGCUAAUGCUGCAACACAAGUCGUGUGGUUUGGAGCCUGCACUCCUGAUUACUAAAUUAUCCUGCAAUAAAUGUCUUCUGAAUGAACGAAAGGAUGAAUACAUGCAUUAUGCAGGACAGAUUUGCCAUAAUAUUUUCAAGGAUUUGCUAUCAUAUUAUUAUUGCUAAAGCUCCCUCCAAAUAAAGCUACUGAUCUUCAGGAAAAGAUUUUUCUGGAGGAAACCUUGGGAUAUGAUAGAAUAAAUAUGCAUAUGGUGUUGGUUUAGCAUACACAGGUGAUUUAAAAAAAAUCUUAACGUUUAUUUAUUUUUGAGACAGAGAGAGACAGACCGUAAACAGCGGGGGCCGGGGUGGGGGGAGAGAAGGGCAGAGAGAGAGAGAGAGAUUGAGACACAGAAUCCAAAGCAGGAUCCCGGCUCUGAGCUGUCAGCACAGAGCCCCAUUUGGGGCUUGAACUCCUGGACCAUGAGAUCAUGACCUGAGCAGAAGUCAGACACUCAACCAACUGAACCACCCAGGUGCCCCACACAUAGGCAAUUUUGAACAUGACAUGCACUGUGCCUCCAGGGAAGUGUGAGGUUGAAAUACACAGUAAUCCCAUCGAGGGAUGAAGGUGAAAUGGAAGCCUUGUCUUGGAGAAGAAUGGCUCAUGCUCUGGAAAGUCAGGCUAGCAGAGAGUAUGCACAUCGAUUCAGGCACCAGACUUCCAGCUAUCUCUGACCCCUAUGACAUGUAAGGCAAGCCACUAACUUUUUUGAGCUUCAGUUUUUUCUUCCGAAAAAUGAUGAUAAUAUUAGUCCCUACUUCCUGGGUUGUUGUGAGAACCAAAUGAGAUAGAUGUGCGUGAAGCACGAAGUAUAGUGCCUGACCCACAGCGAGUCAAUUAGUGUCUGAUGUGUCAUUGGUGCUGCGGCUCUAAAUCUCCUGCCUAUACUCUGCUGAGGCAUACUGUCCUAUUUUUGGUUUUAUCUCUAAAGAAUUGUUAGGGAGCUCUCGUGUUUUAGUCAGGCUUGAAGAAGAGGUUUAUUAUAAAAACAGAUCUUCAUCAUCAGGCCGGUUCCGUAGGUCACUUGCUUCUUUCUCAAGGCAGGGGUUAGCCAGAAGGCCAAGCAGCAUUUCCUCCAACUUUCUCUUGGCUUGGGUCAAGUUGCUUCAGUAUACCAGCAUCUCUCUCCCUUUCAAUCCAAUUCUCCUCGCCUCCAACCUAUAAAUUGGCUUCGGAAAAUAUUUUUUUCUACAAGUCCAUAGAAAGGGAAAAAAUAGACUUAGUUUUCCUCAAAGUCCCAGGAGUGUCUCUCUCUGGGACAAAGACGGGUUACUUGUUUUCCAGAGCAAUAGGAGGGCCAUUAGUGCAACUGUAUUGAUAUACUUCCCUAGUCAACAAACAUCCCCAGCCAGGGACCUGGGUAGUGGUAAGAUACAAGCCAAAUGUGUAUUUAAUGACUGAGUCCAUAAUUUUAGUUUCCAAUAUGACAUCUAUAAAUUGGAGAUUUUUUUUCUAUUAAAGUCAACAUGAAAUCUUUUUCUGUUGAAGUCUGAUGAUUGACUUGAUUUGUAUAUGGCAAAUAAACAAAAUGUAGCUACUUUUUAAUGUGAACAUCAGGAUUGGUUAAAGAAAUUAUAAUAUAGCCAUACAAUAUAAUAUGCGCCAGCCAUUGAUAAAGCUGUCUUGGGAAUAUAUUUAUAGACAUGUAAAGCUGUUCACCGUGUUCUUAAGUGAAAAAAGGGCGAAUUUGUGAAGCAGUAUGGUUCCAGGUUUUCAGAAAAACGUCUGAAUGUCUAGGAACAAAAGUGUUAAUGAUUGUUAAUUUUAAGGUGGUAGGAGGGGCCACCGGGUGGCUCAAUCAGUUAAGCGGCUGACUUCGACUCAGGUCAUGACCUCACAGCUUGGUGAGUUUGAGCCUCACAUCGGGCUCUGUGCUGACAGCUGGGAGCCUGCAGCCCGCUUCCGAUGGAUUCUGUGUCUCCCUCUCUCUCUACCCCUCACCCGCUUACACUCUGUCUCUCUCUGUCCUUCAAAAAUAAAUAAACAUUAAGAAAAAAAAAUUAAGUUGGUAGGAAAUGGGAAAUUUUUAUUUUGUGUGUUUUUAAAAAUGUCCUCAUUUCUAUAAGUGAAAACAACAUAUCUCUCAUUUAUGAAAGACGUGCUGAAUCAAGCUAUAAUACAUGAAUGCAAUGAACACUGUCAUGAGCCACUGAAAAUUUUAGUGGAUUAUUUGUGAACAUUUUGUUCUCUUUAAAAAAUAGAAUGAGAAUUAAUAGGAAAGAAUCAUUCAACAAGUAUUGCAAUUUCUUGAGUGCCUAUUGCCUGUGAGGUGCUAAGUGAAUAAUAUUAACACUUACAGGGUAAGUUUACUGUAUCCAUUUUAGUGUUAAGAAACGUGAAAUCAGGGAACCUGAUUUGCACAAGUCCACAAUGAUAGAACAAGGACUCAAAGUUGGGUCCCAUUCUACCACUGCAACGUCCUUCUCAAAAUGAAGACCAGAGGAAUCAAAUCAUUUUUUCACUGUCUCAGCUAACAUAUCGCAGAUCUGUGAACUGAACCUGGGUCUUGCUGACCCCAAAACCCAAGUUUUGUUUACUACACUGCUCUUGUCCUCAUGUUUGCUCGUGUUUUACUGGCCAAAGCAAGUCAUGGCCAAGUCUAGAGACAACAUAGAAAGGAGCUAACACAGGUCUGGGUAUUGGGAGGUGUGAUUCAUUGGGGGUCAUUCAUAUAUAAUCUACAAAACUGAACGAGCAUCAGAGUAACUAAAAUGGUUGAAGACAUGAGAUGGGAGGAAAGUACCUGUAAUAAGAGUGUUAAAAUUUCUCCUCUGAAAAGGAACUUGAAGACAAGAAUGUGGGUAAAUAAAUCUGACCAUCUUUAUAAAGCCAGAAAUACUGUAAAGAGAAGCCACCAUUUGAAACUAAGUCUAAAUGAAUUUCAAACAAAUUUUUUAAAUUAUGAUUUAUAAUUUCAGUUACCUAAUAAUUAAUUCGGGGGAUUCAGUAUUCUAUGAGGAAGCCCUGGAAUGAAAUACAAAUUGAUCAAGAAAGAAUGUAAAAAAUUCAUGUAUGUUAGAACUAUAAAUGGGAUUAAGAUGAGCAAUGGUUUCCAAAAAUCAUCAAAAUCAUUUGGGGAACUUUGAAGCAUAUAUAUCUUGGGCUCCAAACCCAGGGAUUUUACUGUUUAAGUGUUUAGAACACUUCAGGUCCCAACCUUCUCAGAUGAUGGUUUUGCACUAAAACCCCCAAAUUCCAACCUUCUCUAGAUUUCAAAAAAUGGUAUGAUUUUUCAGAAAAGGACUAGACCUUCAAUACUUUUUAAAGCAUAAAACUUUCUCAGAAGAGGGACUAGCUGUGUCAACUUUGGGUAAGGUAAUACAUUCUUCUCAAGCAACUCCCCACUGUUUCUCCAUCCUUCAUCUGGAAAAUGCAGACAAAAAUACCACCUUCAUAGGGGUUUUGGUAAGGAUUAAAUGAAGCAACCUAUAAAAGUCCUUAGCAAGCCUUGUAUACACUGAGGGCUCAAUAAAUGGCAACAAUUAGCACUAUUACUAACAAUUUGCUGAUAGUGUUUUUUGGAAAUAGACUACUUGAGUGGAUGGGCCCUAGUUUUGGCUGAGUAUGACCCUUCCUGUUUCUAUGAUCUCCCUGUGUUGAAACUGAUAAGAAAAGAAGAUGAUUUACUCUUGAGGUAAUAGAAUUACCCUUGUGCUUGAAACCUGUAUCAAAGUAGAACUAUCAGUACACAACUGGAAGGUAGCUAGCAGGACAUAGGGUAUGUCCGAGAAAUAAUGAUGGCAAUGAUAAUAAUGAUUCUUGCUGUCAUUUACUGAGAUCCCACUAUGUUGCAAGCACUGUUCCAGCCAUUUAUGUCCAGUAUCUGGCUUCAGUACCAUGGCAGUCUAUUAAAAAUAUUCUACUAUUUUCUGGGGCACCUGGGUGGCUCAGUUGGUUAAGCAUCCAACUUUGGCUCAGGUCAUAAUCUCAUGGUUCAUGAAUUUGAGCCCUGCAUGGGGCUGACUGUCAUCAGUGUGGAGCCUGCUUCAGAUCCUCUGUCUCCCUCUCCCCCCUGCCCUUCCCUGACUCACACACACGUGUGUGUGUGUGUGUGUGUGUGUGUGUGUGUGUGUGUCUGGGUCUGUGUGUUCUCUCUCUCUCAAAAAUUAUUGGACAUUAAAAAAAUAUUCUAUUAUUUUCAUUUUACAGAUGAGGAAGCUGAGACUUGAAGAGAUUAAGCUCCUUGUCCACAGUCGGCCCAGUGUUCCAGCCUUCUGCCGUCCGAGUCAGAUAGAGACUUGACAAUCCAGUUAAAGAUAGGAAUUUUACAUUCAUUAUUAUCGCUGUCUCCUCAAGUUUUUAUUGAGGGAAUGAAUGGCACAGUUUGGAAGUGUGCAGUUUGGAAACUUCCUUCUCUAAGAGAUUUUGUUUUAGCCUUCUCUCUCAAAUAGGCUUACUUUUCUAAGAGCUUGCUUGUUCUUGAAGCCCAUUUCUCAACAUUGCUAUGGUAUGAAUGGAGAACCGUGGGCAGUUUGGGAAAAACCAUGUUUGAGUGGUUUGUGGUAAUGAAGAGGAGAUGGUCAUUUCACAUUGUCUAUGUCUAUUCUUUUUUCUCUAGACUUUUGGGUGAGUCAUAGCUUUGUCCAAGGAGGCAACUGGUAUUUGCAACCUUACUUUGUCAAUGACACCUGUUGUAUUCAAACCUUCAAACUUAACGUCAACUGAAAAAACACAUAGCAUUUUACUCCUUUAAUAUUGCUGUAGAAUUGUCCUAUUUUUCUUGCCUCUGGAUGCUUCUUUUGUGACAUUCUUAUCUAACAAGAUUUAUUCGAGUAGCAUAGUCACACUACUCUUACCCAAACCCGUUUUCUUUCUUCUUUUUAAUCCCCUCUGUAGAUGCCUUCUCUUCAUGCCAGUGUUAUGAUUUGGGGAGGAGUUUUGGUUCUUUAUAAAUCUCUGCACACUCUGAGGGACUCCAGGGGGGCAGGGCAAAGGCUCCUGAUUCUAUCCAUAAAUCUCAGUUUGAGGGAAAAGCUACAGAUGGGGACAAAGGGGAGCGUUUCUACUCUUCUGUGAUUUUACAGGGUUCAUCUCUGUACUCUGUGGAAUAGGGUGGAAGCUUCCACACGCUAACACAGAUCAACAGAUCAGUUUUGUUUUUUGUUUUUUGUUUUUUGUUUUUUUUUUCUCUUCAGAUCACAUACUCACUAGAGGAGAGUGACAUCCUGGCAAAAACAUCCCCAAACACAAAGCUCUUCUGUUGGGAUUAUACUACCAGUGGUCAUUCCCCUCCAAUCUCAAAUGCUCCCAGCCCCAGAGCAAAGCGCCCCUCUGCACGAGGGUUGAAAUUGCUUCCCAGCUGUGGCCAUAACAGGGGCAUCGAUCCUCAUCUGUUCCCCACCACUGAAUUCUCCACUGUGCACUAGAAACAGGAAUCACACCCUCCGACACCAGUGGGACCUGACUUUUAGAAGUAAGAUUGAAUAGCUAUUAGAAGGGGUGACGGGUAUAACCUAACACUGUACUGAGAAACCAUGGUAAUGAAGUAAUAGAAUCGUAGGGUAGUAGACGCGGAUGGCUCCUUAGGCGUCAUACUGGCCAACCCCUUCACUUUACAGGUGAAAAAACCCAGGUCCAAAGAGGUUAAUUGACUUAUCCAAGGUCAUGUUGUGAAUUAUUGUCCUUUUGUUGCUCCAGGUCACUCUUACACAAAAUCUUUUCUCAAGGUUUCUUAGAGUUCAGAGUUCAUAACCCGUCAGUUAUAAUAGUUUGAAAUGCUUCCCUUUAUAACUCAUUGCAUUCGGCGGUAUAUGAUGGGAACCCACAAUGAAUGUACUCCACACUUAUAAGUGAUUUAAAAAAGGUGCCUGCACUUAAAUAUCUUACAUCUUAAUUGGAGAUUUAAGAAGUAUAAAUAUCAACAGGAGAAAUGAAAUGCCUGAUGUAUGUACGUAAAUGCUGAAUGUGAAGAGAAUUCUAGUGAACGGACAUCUUAAGCUUUAUUUUAAAGAAAUUCAUGGCCAGGGAUUUGUAUAAAUAUGUGGAGGGCCAUCAAUGUAUUAGGUAUUGUGAGAUAAAAGUGUGAAAUAAGAUUUGACACCUUAUGAUCUACACCACUGAAGUUUUCUGGAUAGUUGAGUGGCCACUCACAUCAUUGAGAAUAUGCUUAGGACCCAGGAACAAAAUCCAUUUGAAUCUCGGCUCUUUGAAGCACAGCUUCCCCUUGUACCCGGUUCCCUCCUCUCUGAUAUAAAGUGGUCAGAUCAGGGGCGCCUGGGUGGCGCAGUCGGUUAAGCGUCCGACUUCAGCCAGGUCACGAUCUCGCGGUCCGUGAGUUCGAGCCCCGCGUCGGGCUCUGGGCUGAUGGCUCGGAGCCUGGAGCCUGUUUCCGAUUCUGUGUCUCCCUCUCUCUCUGCCCCUCCCCCGUUCAUGCUCUGUCUCUCUCUGUCCCAAAAAUAAAUAAACGUUGAAAAAAAAGUUUAAAAAAAAAAUCCUUAAAGUGGUCAGAUCAGAUGAUCUUUAAGGUCACUACACGUUUUCACCUUCUAUGCUCCCUUGAUUAAUGAAUGACCAAAAACAAAAUGCAAAACACUCCAGAUGUUCUAGCAGAUUUACAUUUGGAUCUGAGAAAAGUCUGGAUGCACCUCAGUCUUUUUAAAUUAUUGUCUGAGUGGUGAAAUACCGCUGAGAAUUUUCUAUGAAAUUCUCCCGCUAGACUCACUGCUUUUGGAGCCGUGCACUGUCGACCUUGUACUUCCAGGACAGAUUCGGGUUAAUUAUCAUGAAGCCCGCUGGGUAGAACCGUAUUUUAGGAUCAGAACAAUCAAACCCAAGUUACACAUGCAUAGCAGUUUAACAGAUGUAACAUAUAUUUGACGAUUCUUAUCAGACUGUUGAGACCCUUUUGUCUGCCUCAGCAUAAUUGUCAAAGGUAAAUAAGCAUGGGGUGUCCCUGUAAACUAUCCUGUGUUUGCUGCUACAAAAUUGUUACUAAGGACACGGUAGCAUUAGUCACCACUGACAGCCCCAAGCCAACAGUAAUCGUUUAACUAGUUCUUGUGAAUGCUAGAGCUCAUAUGUACAGGUAUUAGAUACCAGUGUCUCAAACACAUUCAAACAACCUUGGCCAAGGCAGCUGCUGCCCAGUGGUGUGAACCAAUACUGUUUGAAUGCCAACUGUGGACCAGGAACUAUACUAAGUGUUUUGCACGUAUUAUCUCAUUUAAUACCCUCAAUAAUCAUAUGAGGUAGGUAUUGUUAUUAUCUACAUCAUUCAGAUAAAGAAACUGGAGAUUAGAAAGGUAAGUAGGUUGGGGUGCCUGGGUGGCUCACUGGGUUAAGCGUCUGUCUCUUGAUUUCGGCUCAGAUCAUGAUCUCACAGUAUGUGAGUUCGAGCCCUGUGUCAGGCUCUGUGUUGAUGGCAUAGAGCAGCUUGGGAUUCUGUCUCCCUCUCUCUUUGUCCCCCCUGUGCUUUCUCUCUCUCUCUCUCUUUCUCUCUCUCUCUCUCUCAAAAUAAAUAAAAAUAAACUUUAAAAAAAGAAGAAAAUUAAGUAGUUUGCCUAGGACACAUCUAGAAAACAAUAAAACUGAGGUUUUGAAACCAGUUAGUUUGACCUCAGGGGCAAUACACUGAUUACUAUACAGUAUCGCCUUCUGGCUUGCAACAUUCUACAAAAAAGAUUAUUUUUAAGUUGCUUUGAUAAAUACACUUCACGUAGCAGGAUGCUGUGUGUGCAGGUUCGGGGCUGUGCAUGACGGUGGGGGCGGGGGGGCGGGGGGGAGGGGCGAAUGGUUAAUUUUUAUUGACUUUAGCUAAUUGUACUUCAUUUGCAUCUUUCCCUGAUUUUGGCCGAGUGCACAGUUUGCUGGUCUGCAGUAUCCCUGGAAGCAGAGGAGUUGAUGCAACACUUAGUAUGCACCCUUCCUUCAGAACCUUCACUAACAGACACAUACAUGCAUCAUCCUAACCCAGGUCCGAACAGUGAGUUCAGAAGCCAUUUCCAUUAUUUAAAUUUCUGAUCUGCAGUGUUGUAUGAAAUACCGUUAGGAACUCUGUGCUUGAGGGUCUGUGGAAUAUCAACACACUUCCAAGCCUAAAUCUAAAGCGAUGGUGCUUAAUAAUUUAUAUGACCGCAUUUCCCCCACUCCGCCCCCGCCCCCAGUGUUGUUAAAAAUAAUGAAAUAGAGGACCGACGCUCUCAGAGAAUGUAACAGGCCAAUUUAUGAUUCUAAUUCUCUGUUUGGUCAUCUGAAAUAUACUAUUUUAGCAGCUUUAUACCUUUCACAGGUAUUUCUUCAAAGCAAUUCGUACUUGCAUUACUAUUCCGUAAAUGUUUUGGCUUGAAAGAGAAAAUGUGUCCUUCAAACAAGUUUCUUUCUUUCAGGGCUACUUCUGUAUGUGAAUUCCUCGUGGUGGCUACCCCGUGUUUUCUGUUAUCGUCUUCUCCGCGUUCAAUUCAUUACCCCUGUUCAUUAUUCAAUUUGUUGGGCUUUGAGCACCUGAAUAAUUGAAAGCUAUGCAAGUAUUAUAAAUUAUAUUGUCCACACUCAUAAUCCCCAUUUUAGAGUUUAUAGCUUCACUGUAAAAAUUCACUGUGUUGGAACCUUACAUACAAGGUCUUAUAUUGAAAACAAAUUAAUUUAUAAAUACAUUUUUUUCUUCCCCAAACUCAAUAUUUAUCAAAUCUUAUAUUUUUCAGUUAUGGUUUUUAUGGCUUUUACCACCACAGCAAGACCAAUGAAAAGAAUGUUUUACACGUUCACUAUUUCAUUCUUUUUUGCAGCGGAUAUUUAUGGAAUGACUAUUCUUUUGACAGGAGAAGGCUGGGGCGAGGUCAGCCUGUUCUCUUCCAGAAGAAUUCAAGGCAAAGCAGCCCUUUCAGUGAUGGCCUCUACCUCCUGAUGGCCCGCCAAAAACAAGACAAGUAACAACAAAACCCAAAACAAAUCCUCAGUGGCCCCGUCUCUGUACAGGUUUUGACCCUUGACUCUCCCUGGUCCACUCAGGGCCAUGAGAUUGGAAGAUUCUCUUGCUUCCCGUGGGCAGGUAGCGUUUCUUUUUUGUUUUUUUUUUGUUUUUUGCCCUGCAAAUGAACAAUGACAUACAUGUUUCAAUGAGAGUAACAGACCUGUGCUUUAAAACUUUAAAAAGAUGGGGUGCCCGGGUGGCUCAGUCAGUUAAGCAACCGACUUCAGCUCAGGUCCUGAUCUUGCAGACUGUGGGUUCAAGCCCCGCAUAGGGCUCUGUGCUGACAGCUUGGAGCCUGGAGCCUGCUUUGGAUUCUGGGUCUCCCUCUCUUUCUGCCCCUCCCCUGCUUCACUCUGUCUCUGUCUCUCUCUCUCUCUCAAAUAAAUAAAUAAAUAAAUAAAUAAAUAAAUAAAUAAACAUUUAACAAAAUUUAAAAAGAAACUUUAAAAAGAAAAGAGUAUGUGGGGAAAUAAUGUGGGAGUAGAGAAUAAUGCUCCUACCUGGAAAGUGCCAGAGCAGGAAAAAAAUCUGUAGGAAAGUCUUGUGGAUGCAAAUCUAGUAGGGGUUUAAAUUUCAUCAAGACUGCCUCUGCAUUGCUAGAUUGAUUAAUCGAUUGAUCGGUUAGCCACAAUAAAAUAGCUUUACUAUUCCCCCCCCCCAUUGCAGUACUCACCAUUCUUCUUGUAAAAGCUGAAACAAUGGAUGAAGGCAUAGAGUAGGAAGUGAAAAUCACUUCCAAAUGAGUUUAUUGGGCAUUAUUUCCGAGCACAUAUUCCAUAGCACUCGGGCCUGGAUAAACAGUGGUGACCAGUACAGAUGUGGUUCCUACACUUGGCCGGCAUAAAAUCGGUCAAAGACACAAAUAAUAAACAAGAAAGCAAACAAAUGAGUAUAUAUUACACUCUUAUGAAGGCUGAGAACAGAGAAUCAUGGUGGAAAAUCAACAGAAGAGGCAUUACCUAGGUCAGGCUGCUAAAGACAGUCUCUCCGAGGGAGCGAUCGGCCUUGCAAGAGAGAGCAAGAGACUUCUAAACUGUUUGCAAUGUUUGUGUUCAGACAUUUUUAUUUUUUACAAAACUAUAGACACAUACUGUUUUACAACUUGCCUUCUCAAUAUAACACUGUUAAUGUAAAUCUUCCAGGUAAAUAAA
This 30110-nucleotide long non-coding RNA is filed under the name Lynx pardinus (Iberian lynx). Lineage: Eukaryota; Metazoa; Chordata; Mammalia; Carnivora; Felidae. The record is from RNAcentral.